RNAcentral lists this ribosomal RNA (1071 nucleotides) under Pseudoalteromonas sp. BM1. RNAcentral's name for it is "bacterial SSU rRNA". It matches the Rfam family "Bacterial small subunit ribosomal RNA", at positions 34 to 1103 of the family's 1533-position model. The record is from RNAcentral. Lineage: Bacteria; Pseudomonadati; Pseudomonadota; Gammaproteobacteria; Alteromonadales; Pseudoalteromonadaceae.
CGCCUGGGCGGCAGCCUACCAUGCAAGUCGAGCGGUAACAGAAAGUAGCUUGCUACUUUGCUGACGAGCGGCGGACGGGUGAGUAAUGCUUGGGAACAUGCCUUGAGGUGGGGGACAACAGUUGGAAACGACUGCUAAUACCGCAUAAUGUCUACGGACCAAAGGGGGCUUCGGCUCUCGCCUUUAGAUUGGCCCAAGUGGGAUUAGCUAGUUGGUGAGGUAAUGGCUCACCAAGGCGACGAUCCCUAGCUGGUUUGAGAGGAUGAUCAGCCACACUGGGACUGAGACACGGCCCAGACUCCUACGGGAGGCAGCAGUGGGGAAUAUUGCACAAUGGGCGCAAGCCUGAUGCAGCCAUGCCGCGUGUGUGAAGAAGGCCUUCGGGUUGUAAAGCACUUUCAGUCAGGAGGAAAGGUUAGUAGUUAAUACCUGCUAGCUGUGACGUUACUGACAGAAGAAGCACCGGCUAACUCCGUGCCAGCAGCCGCGGUAAUACGGAGGGUGCGAGCGUUAAUCGGAAUUACUGGGCGUAAAGCGUACGCAGGCGGUUUGUUAAGCGAGAUGUGAAAGCCCCGGGCUCAACCUGGGAACUGCAUUUCGAACUGGCAAACUAGAGUGUGAUAGAGGGUGGUAGAAUUUCAGGUGUAGCGGUGAAAUGCGUAGAGAUCUGAAGGAAUACCGAUGGCGAAGGCAGCCACCUGGGUCAACACUGACGCUCAUGUACGAAAGCGUGGGGAGCAAACGGGAUUAGAUACCCCGGUAGUCCACGCCGUAAACGAUGUCUACUAGAAGCUCGGAGCCUCGGUUCUGUUUUUCAAAGCUAACGCAUUAAGUAGACCGCCUGGGGAGUACGGCCGCAAGGUUAAAACUCAAAUGAAUUGACGGGGGCCCGCACAAGCGGUGGAGCAUGUGGUUUAAUUCGAUGCAACGCGAAGAACCUUACCUACACUUGACAUACAGAGAACUUACCAGAGAUGGUUUGGUGCCUUCGGGAGCUCUGAUACAGUGCUGCAUGGCUGUCGUCAGCUCGUGUUGUGAGAUGUUGGGUUAAGUCCCGCAACGAGCGCAAAC